GAUGAACGCUGGCGGCGUGCUUAACACAUGCAAGUCGAACGGAACUACUCCAAUGAGAGUCUUCGGAAAGGAUUUGGUUUAGUUUAGUGGCGGACGGGUGAGUAACGCGUGGGUAACCUGCCCUAUACAGGGGGAUAACAGUUGGAAACGACUGUUAAUACCGCAUAAGCGCACAGGAGCGCAUGCUCCGGUGUGAAAAACUCCGGUGGUAUAGGAUGGACCCGCGUCUGAUUAGCUGGUUGGCGGGGUAACGGCCCACCAAGGCGACGAUCAGUAGCCGGCCUGAGAGGGUGAACGGCCACCUUGGGACUGAGACACGGCCCAAACUCCUACGGGAGGCAGCAGUGGGGAAUAUUGCACAAUGGGGGAAACCCUGAUGCAGCGACGCCGCGUGAGCGAAGAAGUAUCUCGGUAUGUAAAGCUCUAUCAGCAGGGAAGAAAAUGACGGUACCUGACUAAGAAGCCCCGGCUAACUACGUG
This 480-nucleotide ribosomal RNA is filed under the name uncultured bacterium. RNAcentral's name for it is "partial 16S ribosomal RNA". It matches the Rfam family "Bacterial small subunit ribosomal RNA", at positions 28 to 507 of the family's 1533-position model. The record is from RNAcentral.